Molecule: ribosomal RNA, 516 nt
Filed under: uncultured fungus
Lineage: Eukaryota; Fungi
Description: SSU rRNA
Rfam family: Eukaryotic small subunit ribosomal RNA
Source: RNAcentral
AUAAAAAACCAAUGCCUUCGGGCUCCUUGGUGAUUCAUGAUAACUUAACGAAUCGCAUGGCCUUGCGCCGGCGAUGGUUCAUUCAAAUUUCUGCCCUAUCAACUUUCGAUGGUAGGAUAGUGGCCUACCAUGGUUUCAACGGGUAACGGGGAAUUAGGGUUCGAUUCCGGAGAGGGAGCCUGAGAAACGGCUACCACACCCAAGGAAGGCAGCAGGCGCGCAAAUUACCCAAUCCCAAUUCGGGGAGGUAGUGACAAUAAAUACUGAUACAGGGCUCUUUUGGGUCUUGUAAUUGGAAUGAGUACAAUUUAAAUCCCUUAACGAGGAACAAUUGGAGGGCAAGUCUGGUGCCAGCAGCCGCGGUAAUUCCAGCUCCAAUAGCGUAUAUUAAAGUUGUUGCAGUUAAAAAGCUCGUAGUUGAACCUUGGGUCUGGCUGCCCGGUCCGCCUAACCGCGUGCACUGGUGCGGCCGGAUCUUUCCUUCUGGCUAACCUCAUGCCCUUUACUGGGUGUGCU